GACUGUAUACUCACUGGAAAGGCUGGCGUCCAUGAAGGCAGCGUCCGCCCACUUCAAAGCCUGCGCCUCUCCUCCAUGAUGGGAAGGCACGUCCCGCAGUGAAGACGCGCGGUCCAGACUGGAGGAGGAGGAGGAGGAUGCACGCGCUCCGGUCCACCCCUCCUGGACCCUCCAUUGGCUGACGAUGAUGACAGCAAAGCCCCCACCCUCUGAUGCUGGCCGGCGGCUGAGGACCGUGAGGAGGCUUCAACUCUUCUGGGAAGGCUGUCCACAAGGUUGCGGAGUGCGUUUAAAGGAAUUUUCCACCAUUCUUCCAAAAGCGCAUUGGUGUUCUAUCGGGUUCGGGUCAGGACUCUGUGCAGGCCAGUCAAGUUCAUCCACACCAGACUCUGUCAUCCAUGUCUUUAUGGACCUUGCUUUGUGCACAGGUGUACAGUCAUGUUGGAAGAGGAAGGAGCCCGCUCCAAACUGUUCCCACAAAGUUGGGAGCAUGGAAUUGUCCAAAAUGUUUUGGUAUCCUGGAACAUUCAAAAUUCAUUUCACUGGAACUAAGGGGCCAAGCCCAACUCCUGAAAAACAACCCCCGCACCAUAAUUCCAUAAUGACCCCUCUCUGUCAGUUUACGUGUCCUACCACUUGGUGGCUGAGUUGCUGUUGUUCCCAAACUCUUCCUUUUUCUUAUAAUAAAGCCGACAGUUGACUUUGGAAUAUUUA
This is a long non-coding RNA of Entelurus aequoreus (snake pipefish), 714 nucleotides long. RefSeq lists it as uncharacterized. The transcript is spliced from 3 exons. The record is from RefSeq and is a predicted model, not a curated record. Lineage: Eukaryota; Metazoa; Chordata; Actinopteri; Syngnathiformes; Syngnathidae.